AGUUUCCCAGUACUAAAGUAUGAGAUCAUUCGUGCUAUUAUUAAAUAGGAUUUUAAAAGUAUUAUAUACUGAAAUGAGUAAAAAUUUGGAAGAACUCUGUGACUCAAUGAACCGGUAUUUUCCAAAUGAGCAAUGCAAUGCACGAUGCUACAAAAUCCACUUAGAGUACAGAUGGACCAGUGCCUUUUAAUGUAAUACAUUUUCACAGUUCAUUGAUAGGGUUUCAGAUUCUACUCUGUAACUAGCCUUUAAGAAACUAGGAUUUGUCAAGCUUUGCUCUAAUAUCACUGAAUACCCACAAUUAUUUGAAAAGGCUGUCAAAAUGCACCUCCCCUUUUCCAACUGCAUAUCUAUGUGAAGCCAGAUUUUCUUCAUAUUCUUUAACCAAAAUAAUGUAUUGGAACAGAUUGAAUUCAGAGGCAGAUAAGAAUAUCCAGCUGCCUUCUAUUGAGCCAGAUGUGUGUGUGUGUGUGUGUGUGGGUGUGUGUGUGUGUGUGUGUGUGUGUGUGUGUGUGUGUAAGGGAAUGAAGAGAAUGAAUGAGAAUGGGUACAAAUCAAAGCAACAUUUUCUUGGGUUAAUUAUUUCAACUAUAAAGAUAUAUCUCAACUUUUAAAGAAAUUCCUGGUUUAUAUUUAAAUGCACUUUAAAAAGACCAUAACACUUAAAUUCAGUUGACAGGCUACAAUGGGAUUCAGAAAAGGACACAGUGAAUAUAUAGACUUAGGUGCAAUUCAUGCUGGUGAUUUUUCUUUUUUAAAAUGUAAGCCACUAAUAUUUUAAGAAAAAAAUUUAAACCAAAAAUUGCAUAUUAAUAUUAUACACAAACUGAAACAGAAGUGACUUUUAGCACAGUGUACACAUGCUUACAUAAACUCAAACACAUUUAAAACAAUUUCCAUUUAACACAAGAAAGUUUUAAAUACAUAAAAGCAUUAAUAUUUUCUAUAAAACUACAGUUAGAACAUCAAUUUGCUACAAGCAUAUAAAAACAUCAAGUGCUUUCUUGGAGUUUCAAGUUUCCUCUCUAAAACACAAUCUUGCUUAUAUAUAUAGUCCUUUUCCAAUAAUCAGUAUGGACUUUUUUUUUCCUUAAGAGGUUUAUUUUCCAGGUACAUUAUAAGCUCAAGAAAAUAGACCCAACAAUUACGCAAUAUAAUAAUGUCAUAACAACUUAAUUGCACAUAAUGCUUUAAAGUAGGUUUGGAUGAAGUUCUCAAACACUUUGGUAUAUGAUCUUCAGGGACUUCAAUAGAAACAACAGAAAUUAUAAGUCCCUUCAAUCCCCAUUUUGCUUUAAAAUGGACAAGUCUUUGGUUAAAGUUCUACAUUUUGGGCAUUUAUUUUUAAUUAAGAUGGUCCCCAAACCAAUACACGGUACUGAUGUAUUACUAAUUCACAAGACUUCAUUCAAUCUGCUUCUGAUGCAGUGGGAGGUUACAUACUCAUUUACUAUGUCAUUGAAUAGUUUCACUCUUUCACUUAUAAGCAGAGAAAUCAAUAGGCUUACUAUUUCUCUGUCAGUUCUGUUAUAACCUAAACUGUACAGUAAUUUGCAGUAACUAUACAUACUGUUCCACAGUAUAUGUGAUUAUGACUGAUCAGAUGUAGAGCAUUAAAUUUGGAGUUAGCUUAUUCUGAUAAGUCAAUAUUAGACUGUAUAAUAACUCUGCAUUAACUAUGGAAAGGUUGUUAGUUAAUGCUUAUUUAAAAACCCCAAACUAUUCCAUUUACAAGAGAAAUUGUUGCAAAUGUAUAAAACAGCAGAUAUACAAGGAGAACACCAAACAUACUUUAUUAGCACAAAA
Molecule: long non-coding RNA, 1806 nt
Organism: Sapajus apella (tufted capuchin)
Lineage: Eukaryota; Metazoa; Chordata; Mammalia; Primates; Cebidae
Exons: 2
Source: RefSeq, a predicted model, not a curated record